This is a long non-coding RNA of Gossypium arboreum, 781 nucleotides long. RefSeq lists it as uncharacterized. The transcript is spliced from 3 exons. The record is from RefSeq and is a predicted model, not a curated record. Lineage: Eukaryota; Viridiplantae; Streptophyta; Magnoliopsida; Malvales; Malvaceae.
UGUUUCAUGAUAAGAAUAUCAUGUCUUUUGUAUUAAAGAAUUAAAUGGAUGAAAUAUGAAGUUUUAUUAAAAGAAAAAGGGGUGAAAAGAACAAAGUUUUGUCCAUCUUUGUUCAUCAUAGCUGAAAGUUAAAGAAGAGAAAGGAGAGGAGAAAGCUCUUGAGUAUUCGGUCAUUAGAAGGAGGAAAAUUGAAGGUGGUUCGUGUGUGGAUCUCACAAGAUAUCGUCGCAAAAUGUGUGUAACUAACACCCUCUUUCUUAGUCUAGAUCAAAAAAGUCGAAAAGCGAAAUGCCGAAAACCGGUAUUUUGUAGAUUUUCGAGUGUGCGAAUGCUCGUGAGGUAAAUCGAUUAAUGUUUUUGGUAAGCUGCAAUGUUUGGACUGCAAAGUGCAUGAUUUCUGUGCCCUCGAUAUUUUUGGGCUUAAUGGGCCAAAAUUGGAAUGAUGGGCCAACGGGCCCAAUUCGGUAAGAACCCUCGGAAAUCCCCAACCAUAGUGGGCUUGGAGCUGUGAGGGAAUUCGGAGUGGCCACCCGUUCUGAAAGUUUGAUUUUCUUCUGGUGAACUUGACAUCUUUUUAUUUACGUUUGAAUUUUUUGGGCUUUUAAAUGUAAUAAGGCCGCUUAAUUAUUUUUGAUGGUUUUAAUAUGUAUUACUAAGAUAGGUAAUACUUAUUUUAACUGUUGAAAUUGGAUAGCUUUAGGGCGCGUUUUCAAAAACAACAAUUGAUUUCAAAAUAACACGACAACAAGUAAAGCUUCCGCAAUGAAAGUAUUUUCCAAAA